UUAGACAGCAUUACCUGUGUGACUUUGAACACGUCCAGUCUCAUCUGAUCUUGGAAGCUAAACAAGGAUGGGUCUGGAUAUAGUUAGAUGGGGGACUGUGGAAUACCAGGUGCUGUAAG
Molecule: ribosomal RNA, 119 nt
Filed under: Oryzias melastigma (Indian medaka)
Lineage: Eukaryota; Metazoa; Chordata; Actinopteri; Beloniformes; Adrianichthyidae
Source: RNAcentral